UACGUAGGGGGCAAGCGUUAUCCGGAUUUACUGGGUGUAAAGGGAGCGCAGACGGCUUGGCAAGUCUGAUGUGAAAGGCGGGGGCUUAACCCCCGGACUGCAUUGGAAACUGUUAAGCUGGAGUGCCGGAGAGGUAAGCGGAAUUCCUAGUGUAGCGGUGAAAUGCGUAGAUAUUAGGAGGAGCACCAGUGGCGAAGGCGGCUUACUGGACGGUAACUGACGUUGAGGCUCGAAAGCGUGGGGAGUAAAC
RNAcentral lists this ribosomal RNA (250 nucleotides) under uncultured prokaryote. RNAcentral describes it as "partial 16S ribosomal RNA". It matches the Rfam family "Bacterial small subunit ribosomal RNA", at positions 524 to 773 of the family's 1533-position model. The record is from RNAcentral.